Siniperca chuatsi (mandarin fish) is the source of this 437-nucleotide long non-coding RNA. RefSeq lists it as uncharacterized. The record is from RefSeq and is a predicted model, not a curated record. The transcript has 3 exons. NCBI's taxonomy places the organism in Eukaryota, Metazoa, Chordata, Actinopteri, Centrarchiformes, Sinipercidae.
CCUCCCUUGUUCAUGUCACAGUAGACACUCAGUGCAGUGGGAGAGCCAUCUGGACGAAUCACAUACAGCCCACUGGCCACGUUACCAUCUGCAAACACCUCGGAGCAGUCUGAAUGAACAAACAAAAAGAUAUACAAGGUUAUCAGGGACUAGGUGUGAGGUGGGUAUGCGCUCCAGCUGCUGGGCCUGCCUGUUGUGGAGCUCCUGGAUGUAGCGAUGCUGGUCGUUGAUCACGUUCAUCAGUCCCUGGAUCUCCGCUUCCACACGGACCACCUUCUCCUCACAUGGCAUAGGGGCCUGGACAGAGAAAGCAAGACAAGAAUAGUAACACCGGUACUAAUAGACCGUACACCGAGGGUUACCCUGGACUUUAAGGGUAUUUCUGCCUCCGGAGCUGCAGAGUCUGGAUCUGUGGUUGAGGGCCACCUGCUGCCCCC